Molecule: long non-coding RNA, 532 nt
Organism: Alligator mississippiensis (American alligator)
Lineage: Eukaryota; Metazoa; Chordata; Crocodylia; Alligatoridae
Exons: 3
Source: RefSeq, a predicted model, not a curated record
CCCACCCUGUGGGGGGGGGGGGGUGACAUGGGCUGGGUCUCCUGCUUUUACUGGCCCUGGGAUUCACCAUUUACUGAUUAACCCCCUCCCAGACACACACCUCAUGCAAAACCCUGUUACGCAUCACAGCUGAACAGCUGCAGACCCAGUUCAGCGACACCCAAGCACUGGGGAGGAUCAAAUUCAUACAGGGCCAUGGCAGCAGCUCCUUGUCUCUGCUGGCCAGAACCAGCCUCCACCCUACAUGUGAACAGGCUUAAACUGUGCAGACACACAGUCACCUCCAUGCCUCUGGCCUCUUCUCCUUCCUUUACUGCAAGGAGCCAGCCCCCUCCUGGAUCGUGAGCACGGAGAGAAAAAGGGCAUCAGCAAAUACAAGCCGAGCUGGGGGAGGAGAUGGGAGCGACCUAUGGCCCUUGCGGCCUGCUGCAUUUCAAAGGUCAUGAAUUUGUAUUAGAAGCAGGAAGAGGAGAUCAACAACAACACUUAUUAGAAAAGAAAAUUUGAUAUUAAAUUUAUUAUUCUAAAACUA